Molecule: long non-coding RNA, 316 nt
Filed under: Homo sapiens (human)
Lineage: Eukaryota; Metazoa; Chordata; Mammalia; Primates; Hominidae
Description: HSALNT0308329
Source: RNAcentral
ACACGCCGCGAGCUAAGCAGAAAAGGGAGGCAGGCUGCCCCGACACCCCACUACUCACCGCUAGGUUUCCGUCUGGCGCCGAUCCGGCUGCGUCACGCCGGCCGAACGACACCCCGCUGAGUCGCCGCCGCAGGGAAGGUACCUUCGGCCCCAACGGGAAAAGCCAAUUUCCAGUAAUUCGCGCCCGACCACCGGGGAGUGAAUGUUUCCCUCUGAGGAUGAAGAUCACUAUAAACAACUCUGAUGAGAUCAUGCUGACACAAUGCCCCUUCUGUCAAAGCCAUGGAUCCAAUUGUUGAAGGCUACAAAAAUAAGG